CCUGCGGAAGGAUCAUUGUCGAAACCUGCCCAGCAGAACGACCAGCGAACAUGUUUAAUCCAUUCGAGCGUCGGCGAGUUGUAGGUAGCCUUGUGCUCCUCUCCUUUAUCGUUCGAGCCUAGGGGGAUGUCAUCGUGGCUUCUUCCUUGGCAAAUAAACGAACCCCGGCGCGAAAAGCGUCAAGGAACAUAACUACAUAUGAGCUCACGCCCGCUGCCCGGUUAGCCGGUGCACGGUUGUGGUGCCAUGUCAUAACAUUAAACGACUCUCGGCAACGGAUAUCUCGGCUCUCGCAUCGAUGAAGAACGUAGCGAAAUGCGAUACUUGGUGUGAAUUGCAGAAUCCCGUGAACCAUCGAGUCUUUGAACGCAAGUUGCGCCCGAGGCUUCUGGCCGAGGGCACGUCUGCCUGGGCGUCACGCAUCGCAACCCCCCACAACCACUUCGUGAGGGAGGAGGAUGGUUUCCCGUGCCUCACCGGGCGCGGUUGGCCUAAAUAAGGAGCCUAAGGCAUCGGGUUGCCGCGGCGAUAGGUGGAGUACAAGGUCUCGGCCGUGGAAUCAACCGGUCGCGCAACCCUUUGAAUGUAGAGCUCGAAGGACCCAUUGUUGUCGCUUUGUUGCGUCACAAACGUUGCGACCCCAGGUCAGGCGGGGCUA
This 658-nucleotide ribosomal RNA is filed under the name Arenaria roborowskii. RNAcentral's name for it is "eukaryotic LSU rRNA". The stretch from base 264 to 418 matches the Rfam family "5.8S ribosomal RNA". The record is from RNAcentral. Lineage: Eukaryota; Viridiplantae; Streptophyta; Magnoliopsida; Caryophyllales; Caryophyllaceae.